Molecule: ribosomal RNA, 447 nt
Filed under: uncultured bacterium
Lineage: Bacteria
Description: bacterial SSU rRNA
Rfam family: Bacterial small subunit ribosomal RNA
Source: RNAcentral
UCGGGAAUUUUGGGCAAUGGGCGAAAGCCUGACCCAGCAACGCCGCGUGAAGGAUGAAGUAUUUCGGUAUGUAAACUUCGAAAGAAUAGGAAGAAUAAAUGACGGUACUAUUUAUAAGGUCCGGCUAACUACGUGCCAGCAGCCGCGGUAAUACGUAGGGACCAAGCGUUGUUCGGAUUUACUGGGCGUAAAGGGCGCGUAGGCGGCAAUUCAAGUCAUCUGUGAAAUCUCCGGGCUUAACUCGGAACGGUCAGAUGAUACUGCUUUGCUAGAGUGCAGAAGGGGCAAUCGGAAUUCUUGGUGUAGCGGUGAAAUGCGUAGAUAUCAAGAGGAACACCUGAGGCGAAGGCGGGUUGCUGGGCUGAUACUGACGCUGAGGCGCGAAAGCUAGGGUAGCAAACGGGAUUAGAUACCCACGUAGUCCCUGAGCGGGCUGGCAAGGCGCAU